CCUACGGGCGGCAGCAGUGGGGAAUAUUGCGCAAUGGGCGAAAGCCUGACGCAGCGACGCCGCGUGAGGGAUGAAGGUCUUCGGAUCGUAAACCUCUGUCAGCAGGGAAGAAAGGUCACUGUGCUAAUCAGCAGUGAAUUGACGGUACCUGCAAAGGAAGCACCGGCUAACUCCGUGCCAGCAGCCGCGGUAAUACGGAGGGUGCGAGCGUUAAUCGGAAUUACUGGGCGUAAAGCGCUCGUAGGCGGUAUGUCAAGUCAAGGGGGAAAUCCCCGCGCUCAACGUGGGAACUGCCUUUGAAACUGGCAAACUGGAGUGUGUGAGAGGAUAGUGGAAUUCCAGGUGUAGGGGUGAAAUCCGUAGAUAUCUGGAGGAACAUCAGUGGCGAAGGCGACUAUCUGGCACAUAACUGACGCUGAGGAGCGAAAGCGUGGGUAGCAAACAGGAUUAGAUACCCCUGUAGUC
Molecule: ribosomal RNA, 465 nt
Filed under: uncultured bacterium
Lineage: Bacteria
Description: partial 16S ribosomal RNA
Rfam family: Bacterial small subunit ribosomal RNA
Source: RNAcentral